UGUGAAGUAUCAGAUGAAGGCUGUGCUGCUCUCGCUUCAGCUCUGAGAUCAAACCCCUCACACCUGAGAGAACUGAUUCUGACUGAGAAUAAAGUAGGAGACUCAGGAGUGAAGUGUCUCUCUGAUCUGAAGGAUGAUGAACGUUACAAACUACAGACACUGAAUGUUUAAUGGUGAUGAACAAUUGUGUGUGAAGACUCCAGUGUUCCUGCAUUUCCGUGUCUGCAAACCGAGAACACGUUUAUCUACAGGAUCUGAGGAGUUGAUGU
Silurus meridionalis is the source of this 269-nucleotide long non-coding RNA. RefSeq lists it as uncharacterized. The transcript has 2 exons. Lineage: Eukaryota; Metazoa; Chordata; Actinopteri; Siluriformes; Siluridae. The record is from RefSeq and is a predicted model, not a curated record.